AUACGGAGGGUGCAAGCGUUAAUCGGAAUUACUGGGCGUAAAGGGUACGUAGGCGGUUAAAUAAGUUGGAUGUGAAAGCCCCGGGCUCAACCUGGGAACUGCAUUCAAAACUGUUUGACUAGAGUGUAUGAGAUGUUGGCGGAAUUCCAGGUGUAGCAGUGAAAUGCGUAGAUAUCUGGAGGAACAUCAGUGGCGAAGGCGGCCAACUGGCAUAACACUGACGCUGAGGUACGAAAGCGUGGGGAGCGAACGGGAUUAGAUACCCUUGUAGUCC
RNAcentral lists this ribosomal RNA (274 nucleotides) under uncultured bacterium. RNAcentral's name for it is "partial 16S ribosomal RNA". It matches the Rfam family "Bacterial small subunit ribosomal RNA", at positions 523 to 796 of the family's 1533-position model. The record is from RNAcentral.